UGGGGGAUAUUGCACAAUGGGCGAAAGCCUGAUGCAGCGACGCCGCGUGGGGGAUGAAGGCUUUCGGGUUGUAAACCUCUUUCGCUAUCGAACAAGGCCCGCUUAGGGUGGGUUGAGGGUAGGUGGAGAAGAAGCGCCGGCUAACUACGUGCCAGCAGCCGCGGUAAUACGUAGGGCGCGAGCGUUGUCCGGAAUUAUUGGGCGUAAAGGGCUUGUAGGCGGCUUGUUGCGCCUGCUGUGAAAACGCGGGGCUUAACUUCGCGCGUGCAGUGGGUACGGGCAGGCUUGAGUGUGGUAGGGGUGACUGGAAUUCCAGGUGUAGCGGUGGAAUGCGCAGAUAUCUGGAGGGACAGCGAUGGCGAAGGCAGGUCACUGGGCCAUUACUGACGCUGAGGAGCGAAAGCAUGGGUAGCGAACAGG
RNAcentral lists this ribosomal RNA (420 nucleotides) under bacterium. RNAcentral describes it as "partial 16S ribosomal RNA". It matches the Rfam family "Bacterial small subunit ribosomal RNA", at positions 355 to 776 of the family's 1533-position model. The record is from RNAcentral.